RNAcentral lists this ribosomal RNA (455 nucleotides) under Streptococcus salivarius. RNAcentral's name for it is "bacterial SSU rRNA". It matches the Rfam family "Bacterial small subunit ribosomal RNA", at positions 28 to 468 of the family's 1533-position model. Lineage: Bacteria; Bacillati; Bacillota; Bacilli; Lactobacillales; Streptococcaceae. The record is from RNAcentral.
GACGAACGCUGGCGGCGUGCCUAAUACAUGCAAGUAGAACGCUGAAGGGAGGAGCUUGCUCUUCUUGGAUGAGUUGCGAACGGGUGAGUAACGCGUAGGUAACCUGCCUUGUAGCGGGGGAUAACUAUUGGAAACGAUAGCUAAUACCGCAUAACAAUGGAUGACCCAUGUCAUUUAUUUGAAAGGGGCAAAUGCUCCACUACAAGAUGGACCUGCGUUGUAUUAGCUAGUAGGUGAGGUAACGGCUCACCUAGGCGACGAUACGUAGCCGACCUGAGAGGGUGAUCGGCCACACUGGGACUGAGACACGGCCCAGACUCCUACGGGAGGCAGCAGUAGGGAAUCUUCGGCAAUGGGGGCAACCCUGACCGAGCAACGCCGCGUGAGUGAAGAAGGUUUUCGGAUCGUAAAGCUCUGUUGUAAGUCAAGAACGAGUGUGAGAGGGAAAGUUCACA